Non-coding RNA from Hordeum vulgare subsp. vulgare (domesticated barley), 124 nucleotides. The record is from Rfam. NCBI's taxonomy places the organism in Eukaryota, Viridiplantae, Streptophyta, Magnoliopsida, Poales, Poaceae.
AAGAUACUCCCUCCGUCCGAAAAUACAUGUCCUAAAAAUGAAUAAAAUAGAUGUAUCUAUAACUAAAAUAAGUCUAGAUACAUCCAUUUCUAGGACAAGUAUUUCCGAACGGAGGGAGUAUAUU